This 745-nucleotide ribosomal RNA is filed under the name Bacillus sp. ht2-4. Its description in RNAcentral is "bacterial SSU rRNA". It matches the Rfam family "Bacterial small subunit ribosomal RNA", at positions 56 to 784 of the family's 1533-position model. Lineage: Bacteria; Bacillati; Bacillota; Bacilli; Caryophanales; Bacillaceae. The record is from RNAcentral. RNAcentral also lists the same sequence under 1 other name.
UGCAGUCGAGCGGACAGAUGGGAGCUUGCUCCCUGAUGUUAGCGGCGGACGGGUGAGUAACACGUGGGUAACCUGCCUGUAAGACUGGGAUAACUCCGGGAAACCGGGGCUAAUACCGGAUACUUGUUUGAACCGCAUGGUUCAAACAUAAAAGGUGGCUUCGGCUACCACUUACAGAUGGACCCGCGGCGCAUUAGCUAGUUGGUGAGGUAAUGGCUCACCAAGGCAACGAUGCGUAGCCGACCUGAGAGGGUGAUCGGCCACACUGGGACUGAGACACGGCCCAGACUCCUACGGGAGGCAGCAGUAGGGAAUCUUCCGCAAUGGACGAAAGUCUGACGGAGCAACGCCGCGUGAGUGAUGAAGGUUUUCGGAUCGUAAAGCUCUGUUGUUAGGGAAGAACAAGUGCCGUUCAAAUAGGGCGGCACCUUGACGGUACCUAACCAGAAAGCCACGGCUAACUACGUGCCAGCAGCCGCGGUAAUACGUAGGUGGCAAGCGUUGUCCGGAAUUAUUGGGCGUAAAGGGCUCGCAGGCGGUUUCUUAAGUCUGAUGUGAAAGCCCCCGGCUCAACCGGGGAGGGUCAUUGGAAACUGGGGAACUUGAGUGCAGAAGAGGAGAGUGGAAUUCCACGUGUAGCGGUGAAAUGCGUAGAGAUGUGGAGGAACACCAGUGGCGAAGGCGACUCUCUGGUCUGUAACUGACGCUGAGGAGCGAAAGCGUGGGGAGCGAACAGGAUUAGAUA